Molecule: ribosomal RNA, 329 nt
Filed under: uncultured bacterium
Lineage: Bacteria
Description: bacterial SSU rRNA
Rfam family: Bacterial small subunit ribosomal RNA
Source: RNAcentral
CGUGUAGGCGGUGCGGUAAGUUGGGCGUGAAAUACCCCGAGCUUAACUCGGGUGGGCCGUUCAAGACUGCCGUGCUAGGGUGCGGGAGAGGGAAGUGGAAUUUCCGGUGUAGCGGUGAAAUGCGUAGAUAUCGGGAGGAACACCUGCGGCGAAGGCGGCUUCCUGGACCGUAACCGACGCUGAGGCGCGAAAGCUAGGGGAGCAAACAGGAUUAGAUACCCUGGUAGUCCUAGCCCUAAACGAUGAGCACUGGGUGUGGCCCCUCACGAGGCCGUGCCGAAGCUAACGCAUUAAGUGCUCCGCCUGGGGAGUACGGUCGCAAGGCUGAA